GCGAAAGUGGCGGAAUGGCAGACGCGCUAGGUUCAGGGUCUAGUGGGGUCAAACCCGUGGGGGUUCAAGUCCCCCCUUUCGCACCA
RNAcentral lists this transfer RNA (86 nucleotides) under Bdellovibrionales bacterium. RNAcentral describes it as "tRNA-Leu". It matches the Rfam family "tRNA". From Rfam's summary of the family: Transfer RNA (tRNA) molecules are approximately 80 nucleotides in length. The record is from RNAcentral. Lineage: Bacteria; Pseudomonadati; Bdellovibrionota; Bdellovibrionia; Bdellovibrionales.